Molecule: long non-coding RNA, 268 nt
Filed under: Vigna radiata
Lineage: Eukaryota; Viridiplantae; Streptophyta; Magnoliopsida; Fabales; Fabaceae
Description: long non-coding RNA (VRAD_LNC004309)
Source: RNAcentral
AGACUAUCAAUAUCAUCUAAAACUGUAAAAGGCAUGUUACUAACUGCCUUUGAUUUCCUAGGAAAGUAAAAAUAUNUAAAACAAAGUAAUAUAUACAGACGACAUACGCAAUCCACAUCAGAGUCAUCAUUUUGUAACAAGAAUUUUAUCCUAUCAACAACGUCUUUUGGACUAAAUGAGUUUGAUGAAAAUUGUUCACAGACAACACCAACAACAUUAUCAUCAAAAUGAACAUCUAAUCCCCCAACUCCUAGACCUAGACCCAUAC